UCAGGCCUAACACAUGCAAGUCGAGGGGCAGCGGGAGUGCUUGCACUCGCCGGCGACCGGCGCACGGGUGCGGAACGCGUAUCGAAUCUGCCUCUAUCUGGGGGAUACCCCAUGGAAACGUGGAAUAAUACCCCAUAGUAUUACUUUAUCGCAUGAUUUAGUAAUUAAAGAAUUUCGGAUAGAGAUGACGAUGCGUAUCAUUAGCUAGUAGGCAAGGUAACGGCUUACCUAGGCAACGAUGAUUAGGGGUCCUGAGAGGGAGAUCCCCCACACUGGUACUGAGACACGGACCAGACUCCUACGGGAGGCAGCAGUGAGGAAUAUUGGACAAUGGUCGAAAGACUGAUCCAGCCAUGCCGCGUGCAGGAUGAAUGCCCUAUGGGUUGUAAACUGCUUUUAUACGGGAAGAAAAACACCUACGCGUAGGUGACUGACGGUACCGUAAGAAUAAGGACCGGCUAACUCCGUGCCAGCAGCCGCGGUAAUACGGAGGGUCCAAGCGUUAUCCGGAAUCAUUGGGUUUAAAGGGUCCGUAGGCGGGCUAUUAAGUCAGAGGUGAAAGUUUGCAGCUCAACUGUAAAAUUGCCUUUGAUACUGAUAGUCUUGAAUUGUAGUGAAGUGGUUAGAAUAUGUGGUGUAGCGGUGAAAUGCAUAGAUAUCACAUAGAAUACCGAUUGCGAAGGCAGAUCACUAACUAUAU
This 700-nucleotide ribosomal RNA is filed under the name uncultured bacterium. Its description in RNAcentral is "bacterial SSU rRNA". It matches the Rfam family "Bacterial small subunit ribosomal RNA", at positions 42 to 738 of the family's 1533-position model. The record is from RNAcentral.